Molecule: RNA transcript, 1738 nt
Organism: Triticum aestivum (bread wheat)
Lineage: Eukaryota; Viridiplantae; Streptophyta; Magnoliopsida; Poales; Poaceae
Gene name: WD repeat-containing protein 53
Exons: 11
Source: RefSeq, a predicted model, not a curated record
CCUAAGAAACUCGCCGGCGGAGUCGCCGGACUUGGUGGAACGGAAGCAGCUCCGGGACGAGCCGCCGUUUCUAGGGUGGGGGUCUGCCCCCCUAGUCUUCUGAAAUAAACGAGCGAGGAUCUCAUAUAGACCGUUCAUACUUCAAUCGAACGGGUCACACGCACCCGUGCCGUGCUUUCUCAGCCUCUGCGCCGACGACAAGGGUCAAGGGGGGAAGAGAAAGCCUCGCGUCUUCACCGGCCACGCGCGCCAUGUCCGAGACAGAAACGGCGGCGGCGGCGGCGACGUCGACGGAGCGGAAGCCCCGGCGGCUGCGGGGGCACAAGAAGGGCGCCGUCACCUGCUGCGUAGCGUCCUCCGCCCGCCCGGGCGUCGUCGCGUCCUCCGGCGAGGAUGGAUGUCUUUGCUGGUUUGAUUUGCGCACCAAAGAUGUGCUCUUGACCAUUGAGGCAGCAAAUAAACCUAUCUCUUCCAUCUGUUUUAAAUCAGGAAAUGAAGAUCAUGUGUAUGUAUCGGCUGGAAAUGAAAUCUUGUCCUUCGAUAUUCGUAUGGGAUCUCAAUCAAAGCCACUGGAGACAUAUAACUACAAUAGAGAUGAAAUCAACCAGAUUGCUGUGAGUUCUAAAGGCUAUCUUGCUGCUGCAGAUGACAGUGGGGAUGUUAAGAUUGUCAAUACCACUCAAAAGUGCUUGUACAAAAGAUUGAGGGAAGCCCACACAAGUAUUUGCAGCAGUGUACAAUUCAUUCCUUGGAGACCUUGGACAGCAAUUACUGGUGGCCUUGACUCAAAGCUUGCUGUGUGGGAUUUCUCCAAAGGGCGAGCACUAUUUUCUAUUGAUUAUGGAUCACCUGAAUUGCAAAAUAGCAAUUCUUCGGGUAGUACAGGGCAAUGUCUCAACCCUGCUUUCGUUCACUCGGUAGCAGUUUCUGAAGAGGGCAUUUUAGGUGGGUUGUAUAAAGUUUGUGCCGUUGCAAGGGGGGACGGUGUUGUUGAUGUAGUUGAUCUAGAAUAUGAAUUGGCCCCUGCAAAAUCAAAAGGCCCUUCUCGGGCAGGCGGUUUGGCCAUGAGCUCGAAAAGAAACGAUCUUGGGGAUGGGAGCAAUAAUCAAUGCCAAGGGAAAAGGAUCCAUCUUGAUUACUCAAUGGGUGGCCAUACUGCAGCUGUCUCCUGUGUCGUUUGGUGAGAAGGGGAAGUUCCUUGUUUCAGGUGGUAACGACGCAUCACUGAAAGUAUGGGAUUGGUCCAAAGGAUUUUCUCCUGAAACAAACAGCAAUAGUGAAUUGGUGUUGGAUAUUGAUGUGAAGAAAAAGGUAAAUUGGUUGUGUACUGCUCCAACUGAUUCAGAUAACCUGAUUGUGUGUGACACAUCCAAGGUGGUCAAAGUAUAUAAUUUCCCAUAGAUGGAGAAAUGUGCGGUGUCACCUUAUGGACAGUUUCCUGGGUUAUAACACAGCAUGUUGGCCCUGACUCAUGAACCCAAUCCAACUGCAACUAGUCCUAGUGAAAUGACAAGCAGUUGGUUCUUCUUUUGGGAUAUCAUUAUAUGGGACUCUAGAGCCCUGCAGAAACUCUUGUUUGUAAUGAGACAAGUCAUGUGGUACUGAAAUCUUGUGCUCUGAUGUGCUGCUAGAAUAGACAUGUAUGUCUUUGUUGCGUGGCAUUAUAUAUUUAUGGUUUCGGUAUAGAACGAUUGGGUUUGUGUAGGUAGUUCAUCGAAGAUAGAGAAAUGUGCUUAAA